UACGUAGGGGGCUAGCGUUAUCCGGAAUUAUUGGGCGUAAAGGGUGCGCAGGUGGUUAUAUAAGAUUGUGGUUAAAGAAUGGGGCUCAACCCCAUAAUGCCAUGAUAACUGUAUGACUAGAGUGCAGAAGAGGAAAGCGGAAUUCCAUGUGUAGCGGUGAAAUGCGUAGAUAUAUGGAGGAACACCAGUGGCGAAGGCGGCUUUCUGGUCUGUAACUGACACUGAGGCACGAAAGCGUGGGGAGCAAAUAGG
Molecule: ribosomal RNA, 252 nt
Filed under: uncultured Mollicutes bacterium
Lineage: Bacteria; Bacillati; Mycoplasmatota; Mollicutes
Description: partial 16S ribosomal RNA
Rfam family: Bacterial small subunit ribosomal RNA
Source: RNAcentral